GCCCUCGUAGCUCAGAGGCCAGAGCAGUGGUUUCCUAAACCGCGUGUCAGAGGUUCGAAUCCUCUCGGGGGCA
RNAcentral lists this transfer RNA (73 nucleotides) under Chloroflexota bacterium. RNAcentral describes it as "Chloroflexi bacterium tRNA-Arg". It matches the Rfam family "tRNA". Rfam says of the family: Transfer RNA (tRNA) molecules are approximately 80 nucleotides in length. Lineage: Bacteria; Bacillati; Chloroflexota. The record is from RNAcentral.